This 253-nucleotide ribosomal RNA is filed under the name uncultured bacterium. RNAcentral describes it as "partial 16S ribosomal RNA". It matches the Rfam family "Bacterial small subunit ribosomal RNA", at positions 524 to 776 of the family's 1533-position model. The record is from RNAcentral.
GACGUAGGGCGCGAGCGUUGUCCGGAUUUAUUGGGCGUAAAGAGCUCGUAGGCGGCUUGUUGCGUCGACUGUGAAAACCCGCGGCUUAACCGCGGGCCUGCAGUUGAUACGGGCAGGCUAGAGUUCGGUAGGGGAGACUGGAAUUCCUGGUGUAGCGGUGAAAUGCGCAGAUAUCGGGAGGAACACCAAUGGCGAAGGCAGCUCGCUGGGACGGUACUGACGCUGAGACGCGAAAGCGUGGGGAGCAAACAGG